RNAcentral lists this ribosomal RNA (246 nucleotides) under uncultured bacterium. RNAcentral's name for it is "partial 16S ribosomal RNA". It matches the Rfam family "Bacterial small subunit ribosomal RNA", at positions 29 to 300 of the family's 1533-position model. The record is from RNAcentral.
AGCGAACGCUGGCGGCAGGCCUAACACAUGCAAGUCGAGCGCCCGUAGCAAUACGGGAGCGGCAGACGGGAGAGUAACACGUGGGAACGUACCCUUCAGUUCGGAACAACCCAGGGAAACUUGGGCGUAAUACCGGAUACGUCCGUAAGGAGAAAGAUUUAUCGCUGAAGGAUCGGCCCGCGUCUGAUUAGCUAGUUGGUGGGGAAUGGCCCACCAAGGCGACGAUCAGUAGCUGGUCNGAGAGGA